UACUUCAGAAUCCCAAAAGGAAUCUUUCAGUAUGACAUCACAGCAAGGAUGCAUCUUCAGAUGAAAGCUCUAGAUUCAACACAUGAAUCAGUAUGCUUGCAAGUGGAAUGCCGAGAACAUUGGGGCUACAAACAGGGAGCAUGCCAACCAGUCGCAGCAUUUUCCUGGCCCUGUUACAGUGGGAACAUACACCCAGAGAAGCAUGCAGAUGUUCAUGUUCAAAAAAGACUUGAAAGUACCAGUGCCAAAGAAAAGGUGACCUAGUAGCUGUCGGAUGUAAAGCUCUCAGCUACUGCUUCAGCACCAAAUCUGCCUGUUCCCCUGCAUGACGAUAGUUUAAUGGACUCUGAAAUGGGCAUAAUAAAGUCUAGCCCACCCACCC
Long non-coding RNA from Mastomys coucha (southern multimammate mouse), 382 nucleotides. RefSeq lists it as uncharacterized. The record is from RefSeq and is a predicted model, not a curated record. The transcript has 4 exons. NCBI's taxonomy places the organism in Eukaryota, Metazoa, Chordata, Mammalia, Rodentia, Muridae.